CUGGCGGCAUGCCUAAUACAUGCAAGUCGUAACGGACUAAGUUUAUUAGUCAGUGGCGAACGGGUGAGUAACACGUAGGUAACCUGUCUUUAAGACGAGGAUAACGGUUGGAAACGACUGCUAAUACUGGAUAGUAUAAUUAAUCGCAUGAUUGAUUAUUUAAAGGUGCGAAUGCACCACUUAAAGAGGGGCCUGCGGUGCAUUAGCUAGUUGGUGAGGUAACGGCUCACCAAGGCGAUGAUGCAUAUCUGUGCUGAGAGGCAAAACAGACACAUUGGGACUGAGACACGGCCCAGACUCCUACGGGAGGCAGCAGUAGGGAAUUUUCGGCAAUGGGGGCAACCCUGACCGAGCAAUGCCGCGUGAAUGAUGAAGAUCUUCGGAUUGUAAAGUUCUGUUGUUAGGGAAGAACGGUAGUCAUAGGAAAUGAUGAUUAAUUGACGGUACCUAACCAGAAAGCCCCGGCUAACUAUGUGCC
This 478-nucleotide ribosomal RNA is filed under the name uncultured bacterium. RNAcentral describes it as "bacterial SSU rRNA". It matches the Rfam family "Bacterial small subunit ribosomal RNA", at positions 36 to 509 of the family's 1533-position model. The record is from RNAcentral.